RNAcentral lists this ribosomal RNA (701 nucleotides) under uncultured fungus. Its description in RNAcentral is "eukaryotic LSU rRNA". The stretch from base 241 to 392 matches the Rfam family "5.8S ribosomal RNA". Lineage: Eukaryota; Fungi. The record is from RNAcentral.
CUUGGUCAUUUAGAGGAAGUAAAAGUCGUAACAAGGUAACCGUAGGUGAACCUGCGGUUGGAUCAUUAUUAAAUGUCAGCUUUAGAGCUUUCAAAACCGCUUGGGCGUCUGGUAAAACAGAUACCCGAGUCAACCUUGUGUGAACCGUUGAUUGUAUUUGGCAAUUCCAUUUAUUUGGGUUGCCACCUUUAUUAAACACCUUUAUAAACCCGUCUUAAUCAAAUAAUAUAAAUUUGAAACAACUUUUGACAACGGAUCUCUUGGCUCUCGCAACGAUGAAGAACGCAGCGAAAUGCGAUACGUAGUGUGAAUUGCAGAACCGUGAAUCAUCGAAUCUUUGAACGCAUAUUGCGCCUUUGGGUAUUCCUGGAGGCAUGCCUGUUUGAGAAUCAUUUAACUCAUCACCUCCAUGGUUGGCACUCUUGGGUGCUGGCUGUGGGCGUGGAUUUGGGCCUUCACAAUCUGAUUGUAUGGCCUUGAAUGCAUCGACCCGGCUAUAGUGCUUGCUUUACUCUAGUCAAAGUGUUAUCAAUUGCGGCCUCGGCUGUAUAUUUCACUGCGCCUAGGGUAUAUUACUGCCGUGCUAUUGUCUGGCUCAAUUAAACUAUUCUUUUGAAUGGACCACUCAAUUAUCUUUGAAAUCUUGGUCUCAAAUCAGGCAAGAGUACCCGCUGAACUUAAGCAUAUCAAUAAGCGGAGGA